GGAGUAGCCAAGUAGGAGGUGUAGUGCCUGCUGAAGGGGAAAUAAAAACAAAAUAGGAAUUGAUGCUGCAAGCAGGUUGCUAGAAGUUAGGUUUGAGGUGGGCUUAGAGAUGAUGAAGUUCUAAAGGGUUGCUAAGCCCCUGCCUGUGCUGCUAAUAGGUUGGGGUUAGCAGGGGCAUCCCAGCCCUCCUAGAGGCUUAAAAUAAAGUUGGUAAUGAGGUUAGGCAUUGUUUUUGAAGUAAUUUGUGGUUGGAUUGACUGCAGGUCACCUGUGAUUGCUCCAAAUAGCAGAGGGAGAGAAAAUCUUUGUGUUGGCCAUGGAGAAGGUGUGAACAGGAACACAGGGGAUGGCAGAUCUACUGGAAUGAUGAAUGUUUCAGGAGAUCAGAGCUGGCCUCACAACACCUGGCAGCACAAGUGGGAAAUGAAUGAAUGAGAUGCAAAUUGGACAUCUUGACUAGAAAAGAUGGACUGUUUCCUUCUGAAGAUUGAAUCAUGGACGGUAUGCCAAGGCUGGCGCAGAUGGAUUCAGUGGAGCCAACCCUGAUGAACUGUAAAGAAAAUCCCCUGUCUCAUAGACAAAGCAGAAGAUUUCUGAAAUGAAGAGUGGCUAUUUUACAAGCGACUUGUGAGCAUUCCUGUGAGACUGUGCUGCUAACAGAUGUCCUUAGAAUUGUUCUCGCAGGCCCCUUGGAACGGAAUGCACACAUGGCACAAAGUGCAACCAGACACUCAGUGCAGCACAGGCUGAUUUAAACCUGGGCGAGUGACUUGAUGGAGCAAGGUCGUGUUAUGUCUCAAGCCUCAGUGAAGACGAUGAGAAUGGAACUGAGAUUCAGGCUAAUCACAGCAAAAACAAUUAGUAACUUCUUACAACUAGAUUGCCUUUAAAGACAUUUUCUUACGUAAGACAGUUGAGGGGAUUAUUAAAAGUGUUUCCAAAGGCAUAAAAAUGUGUAUUAGAUCAUAAUUCAGACUCCACGUUUGAGGGUGAUAUACCGAGAACCUUGUCACGAUCUUAGUCUUUUAGUUCAGCACCUUCCCAAGGACAGAAUGUGAGCCUUACAGUGGUCCUGUUGCAACAAGACUGCUUCCUUGAAAAGAGUCUUAGUUGUGAUUUAAAGUCUUUAAAGAGAAGAAGGAAUGAAAAAUCCCAGUGGUUGAACUCCUACAUCUUUGUCAAUGACACUGAGUUCCUUUGGUAUCAAACUUCAGCUAGAAAAUGACCAAACAGUUCUGUCACCUUCCUUUUUAUUUCAUAUACUACAUCAGUGUUUUCUUUGGUGUACAUUUCUCCAAGACAUCUUUAUCUUCAGCCAUAUGUUGGAAUCAACUCUUCCUGCCAAAAUUUCUUGACUCUUUCUUGAUUUCUGAACUCCAAACCUGAAGAACCCAAGGUUGCCAACAUCCAGAAUGCCCCGCUUACCUUUCCCAUA
RNAcentral lists this long non-coding RNA (1435 nucleotides) under Coturnix japonica (Japanese quail). Its description in RNAcentral is "lncRNA (ENSCJPG00005000844.1)". Lineage: Eukaryota; Metazoa; Chordata; Aves; Galliformes; Phasianidae. The record is from RNAcentral.